AUUGAACGCUGGCGGCAGGCCUAACACAUGCAAGUCGAGCGGAUGAAGGGAGCUUGCUCCUGGAUUCCGCGGCGGACGGGUGAGUAAUGCCUAGGAAUCUGCCUGGUAGUGGGGGAUAACGUCCGGACACGGGCGCUAAUACCGCAUACGUCCUGAGGGUGAAAGUGGGGGAUCUUCGGACCUCACGCUAUCAGAUGAGACUAGGUCGGAUUAGCUAGUUGGUGGGGUAAAGGCCUACCAAGGCGACGAUCCGUAACUGGUCUGAGAGGAUGAUCAGUCACACUGGAACUGAGACACGGUCCAGACUCCUACGGGAGGCAGCAGUGGGGAAUAUUGGACAAUGGGCGAAAGCCUGAUCCAGCCAUGCCGCGUGUGUGAAGAAGGUCUUCGGAUUGUAAAGCUCUUUAAGUUGGGAGGAAGGGCAGUAAGUUAAUACCUUGCUGUUUUGACGUUACCAACAGAAUAAGCACCGGCUAACUUCGUG
RNAcentral lists this ribosomal RNA (484 nucleotides) under uncultured bacterium. RNAcentral's name for it is "partial 16S ribosomal RNA". It matches the Rfam family "Bacterial small subunit ribosomal RNA", at positions 30 to 507 of the family's 1533-position model. The record is from RNAcentral.